CUCUGAAGGAAUAUGUAACCCAUCUUUAUCAAUUCAAUAACCCAAAAAAGUAACACUAUCCUUAAAAAAAUUACACUUCUUCUUAACUGACAAAUCAGCAAUAUUCAAUUUUUCCAAAACUAACAAUAAUCUAUCAUCCACUUCAUUUUUGUUUUUUACCACAGUAAUCAUAAAAAUAACCUGUCCCGGGUAUACCAUUUAAUAGCUUAUCCAAUUUCUAUUGAAGUAAACCAAGUCCUGUUGCUACUCUAUAAGGCAAUCUUUUAAACAUAUACAAACCCUUACAAGUAGUGAUUGUUGUUAACUUGACUUUCCUUACUAAGUAAUAGUUUCUGAUACAUCUGACAUAAAUCAAGAGUACAAAACAAAGUUGCAC
Cinara cedri is the source of this 376-nucleotide non-coding RNA. NCBI's taxonomy places the organism in Eukaryota, Metazoa, Arthropoda, Insecta, Hemiptera, Aphididae. The record is from the annotation of a GenBank genome assembly.